This 535-nucleotide ribosomal RNA is filed under the name Brevibacterium sp. CMT318. RNAcentral's name for it is "bacterial SSU rRNA". It matches the Rfam family "Bacterial small subunit ribosomal RNA", at positions 341 to 885 of the family's 1533-position model. The record is from RNAcentral. Lineage: Bacteria; Bacillati; Actinomycetota; Actinomycetes; Micrococcales; Brevibacteriaceae.
ACGGGAGGCAGCAGUGGGGAAUAUUGCACAAUGGGGGRAACCCUGAUGCAGCGACGCAGCGUGCGGGAUGACGGCCUUCGGGUUGUAAACCGCUUUCAGCAGGGAAGAAGCGCAAGUGACGGUACCUGCAGAAGAAGUACCGGCUAACUACGUGCCAGCAGCCGCGGUAAUACGUAGGGUACGAGCGUUGUCCGGAAUUAUUGGGCGUAAAGAGCUCGUAGGUGGUUGGUCACGUCUGCUGUGGAAACGCAACGCUUAACGUUGCGCGUGCAGUGGGUACGGGCUGACUAGAGUGCAGUAGGGGAGUCUGGAAUUCCUGGUGUAGCGGUGAAAUGCGCAGAUAUCAGGAGGAACACCGGUGGCGAAGGCGGGACUCUGGGCUGUAACUGACACUGAGGAGCGAAAGCAUGGGGAGCGAACAGGAUUAGAUACCCUGGUAGUCCAUGCCGUAAACGUUGGGCACUAGGUGUGGGGGGCAUUCCACGUUCUCCGCGCCGUAGCUAACGCAUUAAGUGCCCCGCCUGGGGGAGUACGG